Long non-coding RNA from Leptidea sinapis, 464 nucleotides. RefSeq lists it as uncharacterized. The record is from RefSeq and is a predicted model, not a curated record. NCBI's taxonomy places the organism in Eukaryota, Metazoa, Arthropoda, Insecta, Lepidoptera, Pieridae. The transcript has 2 exons.
AUGUCAAAGAUUAUUUUAAGCUUACACUCAGCUAAGUUUUACGUGAGUAAAGUCUGAGCAAAGUCUAAGUACGCUCUAUAGAUCUCAACCUUAGUAAUGAGGGACCCGUUCCUUACCCUUCGGAUACGAAAUCGUAAAAGUACGCUCAGUAUCACCCAAAAAUAGUAAUUCUAGGUGUAUAGUUGUCCAAAAGCAAUCAGGAGCGUCAUUGCCAAAAGGAGCAGCAGGGAGUCCCGAUGACAGUGAAGAAGAUGAGGAUACCGAGAAAAAACCAGAACCUCGUCAUCCAAAACAUGAUAGAAGAUAUACUGGACUGCACGAUGUUGAGAACAUACCCGACGUCUUGCCACGCUACAGGAUCGGACCGAUUAGAAAAAUCAACGAUCUCGUUCGCCUUAGAAAUAAGCUUGGUUAUUGGUAAACUUACCAAAAUACUGUGACAAUAAAAAUAUAUAUCACAUAAA